RNAcentral lists this ribosomal RNA (253 nucleotides) under uncultured bacterium. Its description in RNAcentral is "partial 16S ribosomal RNA". It matches the Rfam family "Bacterial small subunit ribosomal RNA", at positions 524 to 776 of the family's 1533-position model. The record is from RNAcentral.
UACGUAGGUGGCAAGCGUUGUCCGGAUUUACUGGGCGUAAAGGAUGCGUAGGCGGACAUUUAAGUCAGAUGUGAAAUACCCGAGCUUAACUUGGGUGCUGCAUUUGAAACUGGGUGUCUAGAGUGCAGGAGAGGUAAGUGGAAUUCCUAGUGUAGCGGUGAAAUGCGUAGAGAUUAGGAAGAACACCAGUGGCGAAGGCGACUUACUGGACUGUAACUGACGCUGAGGUAUGAAAGCUAGGGGAGCAAACGGG